This 849-nucleotide long non-coding RNA is filed under the name Malus domestica (apple). Its description in RNAcentral is "long non-coding RNA (MDOM_LNC004355)". Lineage: Eukaryota; Viridiplantae; Streptophyta; Magnoliopsida; Rosales; Rosaceae. The record is from RNAcentral.
UGGACUUUAUCGUUUAAGCAUAUAACAUUUAUAUGAGACGGCUCAAACAAUAAUCUUUGCACUUAAUAUUAAACUUAGAUUAGUUUAACAUGUGAAAUGUCCGUAAAGUAUCAUCAUAUGAUUGGCUUUAGGACACAUUUCCAACAAUCUCCCACUUGCACUAGAGCCAAUCAGCUUGAUCAUCAGUGAUGAUACCUCUUAUGAAGUCAUUUCAUAAAUGGCUGAAUAGUAGGCCUAGACAAUGGAUAUCUAUAUGUUAUCCAUAGAAGCAACCUUGAAAAUAACGACGUCACCAUUAUACAUGAUUCUCAAUCAUGUGGUUCAAUCUUUCAUUUGAGUUCGGACCUUGAUGAGACCUUGAUUCCCUGGCUUGAGCUAUCGCCCCAUUAGUGUCAUAGUGUCAGUACACUAGAUACACUUUCUGGUUGGAACCGAAUAGAGAGUUCAUAAAUGAACUUUCCCAUCCAAACAACAUUGUUGUAAGCUUCUAUAUGGCAAUAUAUUUUGCAUUCAUAAUGGAACACACUAAAGUCAUUACUUUAAUGUUUCCAUCCAAAUAUCUCUUUAGUCAUAAUAAAGAGAUAUCCGUUUAUCUCUUCAUUCAUAAUGAAGAAACAUCCAAUGAUGGAUUAGAUUUAUAAUCUAAUACAUUUACGCUUCCUUUACGUUACUCUAAUUCUUCCUCAUUCUUUAAGGAAUCUAUCCUUUAGUAUUUCUUAAAUACUUAAGGACUCACUUGACAGUUGCCAUGGUUCUGAUCUUGGGCUUGCACUGAUAUCGUCUUGUACCGGAUCCUGGGCUUGCACUGAUAUCGUCUUGUACCGUUCUAGGUACAACUCAUAUCAAUGU